Molecule: long non-coding RNA, 1485 nt
Organism: Cuculus canorus (common cuckoo)
Lineage: Eukaryota; Metazoa; Chordata; Aves; Cuculiformes; Cuculidae
Exons: 3
Source: RefSeq, a predicted model, not a curated record
GGGAAAAUGUACUCUGUGCUAGAGCUGUUCUGUCGGCUGUUAGUCAUUCCAUGGAUUGGGAGGCUCGAUCAGGUUUUCUAUUCUAAGAAACAUGAAAGAGUUUGCUUUCUGCAGUCUCAUAUUUCUGUGCAUUCUCUUCUGCGUGAGUUCCCAUUACCUUGCAGCGGAGGCAGAGCCUAGCAGCAAAUGCACAGGAGAGAGAUCAUGUCCCAACUCUGGUAGAGCCCUGUGGGCAUGCAGCUGGCAGAGAUCCACUAUUUCAAUCUUUUUCUCUCUCUUCCCCUCCUUUGUAGGAAAAAUACCCAUUGGAAUCCAUGUCUGGCAGAGAGUUGGUGUUACCUCUGGACUACCAAGAUGUAGAGCAAGGGAGAUGAAUUGUUAAAAUACAACUUGAAGGCAGAAAGCACCUUUGACAAGCUCUAAAAUAGUUGAACAUUGUGGCUGGGGCUGAGAGGCCUUCAGCAAGACAGCACUGGGGACUGACAGAACUCAGUAAAUGAUGCUCUGUCAGCUUGUUUUGACCCUUCUUUCCAGGUAAUAAGGAAAAGUAAAUAGAAAGUCUGACACAAAAGAGAAAUGAGAGAAAAAAAAAACGCAGAGGAUUUCAGCACAAGGAAAAUAUAUGAAUUUCAAAAUGAAGUUCCAGAUGCAUGUUCGUUGAUUGAGUGCCGGCAGGAUACAGUGGGAUUCUGUAGUCCAAUGAAACAAUUUCUGUGGCUUCUCUUUCCACUUCAUUGACACUGCUACCUUCAAAGUUUCAUCAGGCACCAGAAAGAUCCGUGAUGGGCAGAAGCAUGCAGAGAAACUCCAGAGGCUGCUAGAAAAUCAUUCAGAUCUCUGUGCUGUGCCUGAAUUCAUCCUGGGUUUGACUUUUCUCUCUGAAUCCUCUGUGCAUGCUCAUAGUUUCCUCUGAUGCAUUCACCUUCAAAUGACUGUCUUGGUGCAAGCAGAAGAACCGUAUACAGCCUGUCAAGAAGUCUAAUGGAGCAGAACAUGAGCCUUGUCUGGGGGAUGUUUAGCUCUUAACAGAUUGUGCUGAGCCCAUGUGUGACUAUACAGAUAGUGUUGUGCUUUUGUCUUACCUGUGUGAAAUUAACGCUGAGAUUAGGUAGCACUACAAAGCAUCAAAAACCAGGCUGAGAUUUUUGCAAGGAGACUCAUGUGCCUAACUGAUAUUGAAUUUUAGUUGGCUAUAGGCUUGUAAGUUCCUUAACAGUCUCUUUUCUAAAGGAUUAUCCUUUGUCUUCUUCCUGUUUUACUCCAGGCAGAAUGGAUACCGGUUUCUUGAAGAGUUGUUUUUAAAUUUAAGACCUAAGAUACGAAUAAGCCUGUUUUGGAAGGGUUUGAAAAUGUAUAGAGAAAUGUUGUUUUGAUAGAUUCCUUAUAUACUAUGAGAGAGAAGCUGUGAUGUUUUGUGCUAUUUUAGUGACUUUUCCUUGAAAAUUGCCUACUUAUAUAUUUUUAUUUUAAAUAUUAUCUAGGAUU